RNAcentral lists this unclassified non-coding RNA (720 nucleotides) under Hevea brasiliensis (rubber tree). Lineage: Eukaryota; Viridiplantae; Streptophyta; Magnoliopsida; Malpighiales; Euphorbiaceae. The record is from RNAcentral.
GCCCCAUUUGAUAUAGAUUACCUGUUCUUACCAAAACAGAAAAAUAUAUAUAGAUAAAAUCAGUAGUGACUCUUGAGAGAUUCUAGGCAGAAAAUCAAAAGAAAGGGCAAUAUAAUGAAGGCAGCAAAAAAGAAUAAAAUAAAAUAAAAUGCAGCAGAGAAUGACAGUUAACUUGUGGCUCAACCUAAAAACAGAACGUGUUUCAUCUCAACAUUGUGAUGCAAUUCCAUGGACACGCACACAGCAUAACUAAUAAGUAAUAACUAGUUUCUAAAAUCACUCCUGCAACCCUUGGUACAAUGUCUAUCAAGUAUAUGCCGUAACAUGUCAGCAAAAAAUUAGUUCUCAUAUUGCCAUGUAAAUUCAGAGAACCAUGUUCUGUACUCAAAUUACUCGCUGUGAAUGGAAUAUCACCACUGAAAAAUUUGCACAUAAGAGGGAAAGAUUAAAGUUGGACGCAAGCACAUGACAACAUAUAAAACAGAAUGCAUCUCAUCUCAGCAUUUUAAGAUAUAAUUGCACGGACAUUAUACCUAAUACCUAGUUUCUAAAAUCACUCGAGCAACCCCACCCUUCCCCAUGUUGUUAGCAUAUGUCUAUCAAGCAAGAAGUGACAAAACAAUAAUAAAAAAAAAAGAAAAAUUGUUUUCCCAAAUUCUCAUGUAAAUUCAGAGAGAUGCAGUAUAUACUCAAAUAACUUUCAUCGUGAACGAAAUAUCA